GCAGACACAUUCCAGCCAAUCAGCAGCAGACCCUCCCUCCCAGACCCUCCCACCUCCUGGACAGCAUCCAUUUUACAUUCAUUGUGAAGCUGCAUUCUUAGUCAGCUGUCCAGGAGGUGGGAGGGUCUGGGAGGGAGGGUCUGCUGCUAAUUGGCUGGAAUGUGUCUG
This 168-nucleotide microRNA precursor is filed under the name Pelobates cultripes (western spadefoot toad). The record is from RNAcentral. Lineage: Eukaryota; Metazoa; Chordata; Amphibia; Anura; Pelobatidae.